GGUAAGCGUGUUGAAGCGGGGGGGGGAAUAGGAACGGGGUUAGAGGUAAGCGGGAGUACUGGGCGGAAAGCGGGCGUAGGUGGUUGUGUAAGUCUGGCGUGAAAGGCCUAGGCGCAACCGUGGAACUGCGAUGGAAACUGGGCGACUAGAGUGUGGUAGAGGGGAGCGGAGUUCCUGGUGUAGCAGUGAAAUGCGUAGAUAUCAGGAGGAACAUCCAUGGCGAAGGCAGCUACCUGGGCCAACACUGACACUGAGGCACGAAAGCGUGGGGAGCAAACAGGAUUAGAUACCCCUGUAGUC
This 300-nucleotide ribosomal RNA is filed under the name uncultured Acidianus sp. RNAcentral describes it as "bacterial SSU rRNA". The stretch from base 57 to 300 matches the Rfam family "Bacterial small subunit ribosomal RNA", at positions 552 to 795 of the family's 1533-position model. The record is from RNAcentral. Lineage: Archaea; Thermoproteati; Thermoproteota; Thermoprotei; Sulfolobales; Sulfolobaceae.